AGGGCUAUGAUGACAUUCCCAAGGAAAUCACUGAACCUGAUGCAACGAAGCCUGAGGACUGGGAUGAUGAGGAAGAUGGUGAAUGGACAGCUCCAACCAUCCCAAACCCUGAGUACAAGGGACCAUGGAUCCAAAAGAAAAUCAAGAACCCUAAUUUCAAGGGCAAAUGGAAGGCACCUUUGAUCGACAACCCAGAGUACAAGGAUGAUCCUUACAUCUACGCUUUUGACAGCCUGAAGCACAUUGGCAUUGAGCUGUGGCAGGUUAAAUCAGGAACUCUGUUCGACAACAUCCUGAUCACUGAUGACCCCGAGUACGCCAAGAAGUUCGCGGAGGAGACCUGGGCCAAGCACAAGGAUGCUGAGAAGGCCGCC
This is a long non-coding RNA of Triticum dicoccoides, 374 nucleotides long. RefSeq lists it as uncharacterized. The record is from RefSeq and is a predicted model, not a curated record. The transcript is spliced from 6 exons. NCBI's taxonomy places the organism in Eukaryota, Viridiplantae, Streptophyta, Magnoliopsida, Poales, Poaceae.